AAAAAUAAAAUGGUUGUGCUGCUAUACAUGCAAGUCGAGCGGAUCUUCAUUAGCUUGCUUUUGAAGAUCAGCGGCGGACGGGUGAGUAACACGUGGGCAACCUGCCUGUAAGACUGGGAUAACUUCGGGAAACCGGAGCUAAUACCGGAUAAUCCUUUUCCUCUCAUGAGGAAAAGCUGAAAGACGGUUUCGGCUGUCACUUACAGAUGGGCCCGCGGCGCAUUAGCUAGUUGGUGAGGUAACGGCUCACCAAGGCGACGAUGCGUAGCCGACCUGAGAGGGUGAUCGGCCACACUGGGACUGAGACACGGCCCAGACUCCUACGGGAGGCAGCAGUAGGGAAUCUUCCGCAAUGGACGAAAGUCUGACGGAGCAACGCCGCGUGAGCGAUGAAGGCCUUCGGGUCGUAAAGCUCUGUUGUCAGGGAAGAACAAGUAUCGGAGUAACUGCCGGUACCUUGACGGUACCUGACCAGAAAGCCACGGCUAACUACGUGCCAGCAGCCGCGGUAAUACGUAGGUGGCAAGCGUUGUCCGGAAUUAUUGGGCGUAAAGCGCGCGCAGGCGGUUCCUUAAGUCUGAUGUGAAAGCCCCCGGCUCAACCGGGGAGGGUCAUUGGAAACUGGGGAACUUGAGUGCAGAAGAGGAGAGCGGAAUUCCACGUGUAGCGGUGAAAUGCGUAGAGAUGUGGAGGAACACCAGUGGCGAAGGCGGCUCUCUGAUCUGUAACUGACGCUGAGGCGCGAAAGCGUGGGGAGCGAACAGGAUUAGAUACCCUGUAGUCCACGCCGUAAACGAUGAGUGCUAAGUGUUAGAGGGUUUCCGCCCUUUAGUGCUGCAGCAAACGCAUUAAGCACUCGGCCUGGGGAGUACGGCGGCAAGGCUGAAACUCAAAGGAAUUGACGGGGGCCCGCACAAGCGUU
RNAcentral lists this ribosomal RNA (922 nucleotides) under uncultured prokaryote. Its description in RNAcentral is "bacterial SSU rRNA". It matches the Rfam family "Bacterial small subunit ribosomal RNA", at positions 25 to 933 of the family's 1533-position model. The record is from RNAcentral.